This 468-nucleotide ribosomal RNA is filed under the name uncultured bacterium. RNAcentral's name for it is "bacterial SSU rRNA". It matches the Rfam family "Bacterial small subunit ribosomal RNA", at positions 337 to 797 of the family's 1533-position model. The record is from RNAcentral.
UCCUACGGGUGGCAGCAGUAGGGAAUAUUGGACAAUGGGGGAAACCCUGAUCCAGCAACGCCGCGUGGAUGAUGAAGCUUUUUGGAGUGUAAAAUCCUGUCAGUGGGGACGAAACGUCCGGGUAGGAAAUGACCCGGGCCUGACUGUACCCGCAGAGGAAGUUCCGGCCAACUCCGUGCCAGCAGCCGCGGUAAUACGGGGGGAACGAGCGUUGUUCGGAUUUACUGGGCGUAAAGGGCACGCAGGCGGGGAGACAAGUCAGAUGUGAAAACCCAAAGCUUAACUCUGGGCCUGCAUUUGAUACUGUUUCUCUUGAGUACGGGAGAGGAUAGCGGAAUUCUUGGUGUAGCGGUGAAAUGCGUAGAUAUCAAGAAGAACACCGGUGGCGAAGGCGGCUAUCUGGCCCGAUACUGACGCUCAUGUGCGAAGGCAAGGGGAGCAAACAGGAUUAGAUACCCCAGUAGUCGG